GUGGAACAUUAUGUGGAAACUACGACAAGCAGAACACGUGCGGGAACUUCUCAGCUUUUAAGAUCACAAGCUUGUAAGACUAGCACAUUCCAGGGUUCCUACUUUGUUAGGAUUGUAAAUCUGUGGAACUAUGCAUGUAAAACUGCUCCUUCGAACAGCUUCGACACUCUCUCCUCCUUCAAAACAUACCUCCACAAGACUUACCUCCAACUUACUGCCACUGCUUACACUCCUGACUUACCUAGCUCACACUCAUUGAUCACGACUGAAUAAUAUCUCCUAUAUCAGUCGUUCUCUUCUCCUCUCUCUUAAUUUCUUUACUUCUUCUCAUGUACUUUUUCUAUUCUAUAUUAAUGUGUUGUUUUGUCUGUACUGUCCUGAUUAAUGGUGAGCACCAUGCAUGGACCCUAGUCUCGUUUGUGCUUCUCCAUCUUUGGCACGUUUUUACUUAUUGUUAUUCUUGUGUUAGUUUGUGCUAGUUAUGUACAAUAAUGUGUGCCUCUUUGCAUGUGUGCCAAACAAAGCUGUUAAAUUAAAAUUAAAUUAAAUUAAAAUUAAAUUAAUAUAUGGUGGACGACUAUAUUAUAAUUUCAGAUAUGGCCACCACUCAGACUCAGUAGUAACAUAAAUUACCAUAUAUUUC
Paramuricea clavata is the source of this 643-nucleotide non-coding RNA. NCBI's taxonomy places the organism in Eukaryota, Metazoa, Cnidaria, Anthozoa, Malacalcyonacea, Plexauridae. The record is from the annotation of a GenBank genome assembly.